GUGCCAGCAGCCGCGGGUAAUACGGAGGGUGCGAGCGUUAAUCGGAAUUACUGGGCGUAAAGCGCAUGCAGGUGGUCUGUUAAGUCAGAUGUGAAAGCCCCGGGCUCAACCCGGGAAUAGCAUUUGAAACUGUCAGGCUAGAGUACUGUAGAGGGGGGUAGAAUUUCAGGUGUAGCGGUGAAAUGCGUAGAGAUCUGAAGGAAUACCAGUGGCGAAGGCGGCCCCCUGGACAGAUACUGACACUCAGAUGCGAAAGCGUGGGGAGCAAACAGGAUUAGAUACCCUGGUAGUCC
Molecule: ribosomal RNA, 293 nt
Filed under: uncultured microorganism
Description: partial 16S ribosomal RNA
Rfam family: Bacterial small subunit ribosomal RNA
Source: RNAcentral